GUAUGCAGCUGUAAGUGAAAGAUCUAGAAACUGUUCUUGGGGGAUAUCUGAAUGCCACAGGUCACUUUAAGUAGACGCAUCUUCAAAUCAAAACAAUUGCAGAUGGUUUAGCACUGCAAUAGAAUAUCGAAACGCUCACCAGUGAACCUAGAUUUGCACAAGGAGCACUUUGCUGCUGUUGCUGCACUGAUGGUGUCACAAAGCAAUUCCACAAACUUUUCCCAUGGAAGAAAGGUAGCUCUUGCAUUGUCUCCACCAUGGCACAGUGUUCCUUAUGUGGUGAUGCUUCUUUGUAGGGCUGCAUGAAUCACAAAAGCAGAGAACUGGCCAUAUUAGAAAUACCCCGGUGGCCUUCUGUCUUUCACAAGCAAGCAUGAUACCUGCAUGCUGUUAUCUGCCUUGUCUGUGAUCAUAGUCCACCAUAGUCCACCAUGGCAACACACUGUUUUGACAAAGACCCCAUCUUAUGAGUACUAUGUCGGUCUGCACUUGUUGGUCUGCACUUCUAUAGAAAAUGUUAUUUGAACUAAAUUCCACUUGUGUUUAAGGAACUUCUUAGUUCCCUUUGAGUUCUCUUCUAUGCAUGAAAGAUGAAAAUUUGAAGAAGUUGUAUGACAGAGGUGAAGAGUGAGGCUUUUCGGACACUGGGGAAGAUGAUGAAUCUGAAAAGAGAACACUGAGGAGCCUGAGUGUAUGGGAGGUACUUAACAUCUGAGGUCCACGGUACCACCUUGGACUGAUCUGGAUUCCAGGUGAUAUUUGCUCGAUACAAGAAAUUCAGCCUUUGGGCAGAAAUACGAAUUGAUUCCGAGGAAGCACUCUGACCUCAAAGCUGUUGGGUAAGCCUGGGCAUGGGUGAGGGCCUCAAUUCCUCCAUGGGGUGUAUUUUGAGAGGAGAAGCUGAUCUGUAUAGUGAAACCCAGGAGGACCGGGUGUUGGAUCCUCCACAGCAAAGAUCCUGGCUGCUUCUCAGGAAGAGACACCUGCUUUCUAAGGAAGGAAAAGUUUUUCUCCCUCGAGUUUCUUAUGGGCUGGUGCAAGAGCUCCUCACACAAAAAAAAACCAGUUCUCACUCAUUUCUCAGUGGGGGCCCUGCCCAUGGCUGGUGAACACCAUGGCUCUGCCCUGCCCCAGUCAGGCUCCUCUUGCUAUGAAGUCCCCUGGUACUGCUCAUCCCCAACUCAGUGUGCACUGUUUCUCCCUGCUGAUGUUAAAAAUACAAGAGAAACUGGAAGUUAAAUAUAAGAACCAGAAGCAGGCUGGUUGGAACUGAAAACUCCCCAGCUCUUCCCUGUGCCUGAAUUCUGGUGUGGAGAGGGAAAGCGUUGUUUAUCUCCCUUUGAACUUUAGCUAUGCAGCAUCAAGCGUCACUCCCUGCUGCUCUUGCUUUGGUCUUCAUUUCUUGUAAUUUAUAGUUACUCAAAUCUUGGGAUUUCUAUGGUUUGCUUUUUUUCUGAUAUUAGUUGUCUGGGCUUGUCAGGGUAAAGUGCUUAGACUUCCAACACAAGUCAUGGUGAAUGCAGCAAAGUGUAUUUUCCUUAUUCGCUCAAUAACCACUGGCAAGCAUCAACAGUGAGCAAAGACUUUGAUCAGAAUUACAGGCACUUUUAAGAAAGGAUAAAUUAAACAUCUCUGUUUCAUUUUGCAGUGAUUUUAUUAUGUGUUUGCAACAGUCUAUGCAAAAUGUCUGGCGUGAAUUUCCAUAUUUUAUACAUUUUGUAAAAUUACAAAUUUCUGGAAGUUUAUUUUCUACUGUUUUUUUAUAGAAUCAUAGAAUACUUAGGGUUGGAAAGGACCUUAAGAUCAUCUAGUUCCAACCCCCCUGCCAUGGGCAGGGACACCUCACACUAAAC
This is a long non-coding RNA of Pezoporus occidentalis (night parrot), 1853 nucleotides long. RefSeq lists it as uncharacterized. The record is from RefSeq and is a predicted model, not a curated record. The transcript has 2 exons. NCBI's taxonomy places the organism in Eukaryota, Metazoa, Chordata, Aves, Psittaciformes, Psittacidae.